UACGGAGGGUGCAAGCGUUAUCCGGAUUUAUUGGGUUUAAAGGGUCCGUAGGCGGACUUGUAAGUCAGUGGUGAAAUCUCAUAGCUUAACUAUGAAACUGCCAUUGAUACUGCAGGUCUUGAGUAAAUUUGAAGUGGCUGGAAUAAGUAGUGUAGCGGUGAAAUGCAUAGAUAUUACUUAGAACACCAAUUGCGAAGGCAGGUCACUAAGAUUUAACUGACGCUGAUGGACGAAAGCGUGGGGAGCGAACAGG
RNAcentral lists this ribosomal RNA (253 nucleotides) under uncultured bacterium. Its description in RNAcentral is "partial 16S ribosomal RNA". It matches the Rfam family "Bacterial small subunit ribosomal RNA", at positions 524 to 776 of the family's 1533-position model. The record is from RNAcentral.